Apus apus (common swift) is the source of this 136-nucleotide non-coding RNA. The record is from RefSeq and is a predicted model, not a curated record. Lineage: Eukaryota; Metazoa; Chordata; Aves; Apodiformes; Apodidae.
GGUCUCCUCCCAUGGCAGUGGUGCAGGGAGGAGCCCCUCCUGCAGCCAGUGGGGGAGACAGAGAACAAAAGAUAGAGGAAAGUCGUCGUGGCUGCCCAGAGCUUGUGGCUGCCAUGUUUUCCUGCCUCUUACAUCA